RNAcentral lists this ribosomal RNA (655 nucleotides) under uncultured bacterium. RNAcentral's name for it is "bacterial SSU rRNA". It matches the Rfam family "Bacterial small subunit ribosomal RNA", at positions 8 to 665 of the family's 1533-position model. The record is from RNAcentral.
AGAGUUUGAUCCUGGCUCAGAACGAACGCUGGCGGUAUGCCUAACACAUGCAAGUCGAACGCGAACGGAAUCUUCGGAUUCCAAGUAGAGUGGCGCACGGGUGAGUAACACGUGGAUAAUCUGCCCUAAGGUCAGGGAUAACACUUCGAAAGGGGUGCUAAUACCGGAUAAGCUCACGCCUUCCUCGGAAGAAGUGAGAAAAGAUUUAUUGCCUUAGGAUGAGUCCGCGGUCCAUUGGCUAGUUGGUGGGGUAAUGGCCUACCAAGGCUGCGAUGGAUAGCUGGUCUGAGAGGAUGAUCAGCCACACUGGAACUGAGACACGGUCCAGACUCCUACGGGAGGCAGCAGUGGGGAAUUUUGCGCAAUGGGGGAAACCCUGACGCAGCAAUACCGCGUGAAGGAUGAAGGCCCUUGGGUCGUAAACUUCUGUCAGAGGGGAAGAAAUACUCGCAAGAGUGCUGACGGUACCCUCAAAGGAAGCACCGGCUAACUCCGUGCCAGCAGCCGCGGUAAUACGGAGGGUGCAAGCGUUGUUCGGAAUUAUUGGGCGUAAAGAGCAUGUAGGCGGUCUGUUAAGUCUGGUGUGAAAGCCCGGGGCUCAACCCCGGAAGUGCAUUGGAUACUGGCAGACUUGAGUAUGGGAGAGGGAAGUGGA